UACGUAGGUGGCGAGCGUUGUCCGGAUUUAUUGGGCGUAAAGGGCGCGCAGGCGGCCUGUUAAGUCUGGUGUGAAAGCUCCCGGCUCACCUGGGAGAGGGCGCUGGAGACUGGCAGGCUGGAGGGAGGCAGAGGCCGGUGGAAUUCCCGGUGUAGUGGUGAAGUGCGCAGAUAUCAGGAAGAACACCCGUGGCGAAGGCGGCUCUCUGGGACGGUACUGACGCUGAGACGCGAAAGCGUGGGGAGCGAACAGG
RNAcentral lists this ribosomal RNA (253 nucleotides) under uncultured bacterium. RNAcentral describes it as "partial 16S ribosomal RNA". It matches the Rfam family "Bacterial small subunit ribosomal RNA", at positions 524 to 776 of the family's 1533-position model. The record is from RNAcentral.